GAUGAACGCUAGCGGCAGGCUUAACACAUGCAAGUCGAGGGGUAACAGGGAUUGCUUGCAAUCCGCUGACGACCGGCGCACGGGUGCGUAACGCGUAUGCAACCUACCUUUUACUGGGGAAUAGUCAAGAGAAAUUUUGAAUAAUACCCCAUACGAUCUGAUUCACUCCUGUGAAACAGAAGAAAAUUCCGAUGGUAAAAGAUGGGCAUGCGUCCUAUUAGUUUGUUGGUGAGGUAACGGCUCACCAAGACUACGAUAGGUAGGGGUCCUGAGAGGGAGAUCCCCCACACUGGUACUGAGACACGGACCAGACUCCUACGGGAGGCAGCAGUGAGGAAUAUUGGACAAUGGAGGCAACUCUGAUCCAGCCAUGCCGCGUGCAGGAAGACGGCCCUAUGGGUUGUAAACUGCUUUUAUACUAGGAAGAAACGUUAGUACGUGUACUAGCCUGACGGUACUGUAAGAAUAAGGAUCGGCUAACUCCGUGCCUGCG
Molecule: ribosomal RNA, 493 nt
Filed under: uncultured bacterium
Lineage: Bacteria
Description: bacterial SSU rRNA
Rfam family: Bacterial small subunit ribosomal RNA
Source: RNAcentral